RNAcentral lists this ribosomal RNA (254 nucleotides) under uncultured bacterium. RNAcentral describes it as "partial 16S ribosomal RNA". It matches the Rfam family "Bacterial small subunit ribosomal RNA", at positions 524 to 776 of the family's 1533-position model. The record is from RNAcentral.
GACGUAGGGAGCGAGCGUUGUCCGGAUUCAUUGGGCGUAAAGAGCGCGCAGGCGGUUUGGUAAGUCGGAUGUGAAAUCCCGGAGCUCAACUCCGGACCUGCAUCCGAUACUGCCCGACUAGAGGUAGGUAGGGGAGAUCGGGAAUUCCUGGUGUAGCGGUGAAAUGCGCAGAUAUCAGGAGGAACACCGGUGGCGAAGGCGGAUCUCUGGGCCUUACCUGACGCUCAGGCGCGAAAGCUAGGGGAGCGAACAGG